RNAcentral lists this long non-coding RNA (966 nucleotides) under Mus caroli (Ryukyu mouse). RNAcentral's name for it is "lncRNA (MGP_CAROLIEiJ_G0003235.1)". The record is from RNAcentral. Lineage: Eukaryota; Metazoa; Chordata; Mammalia; Rodentia; Muridae.
ACCACAACCUGAGGGUGACCGGAUGAUGAGUGUGGUUUUGACUUGCAUUUCCCUGAUCCUGGAGUGACUGCUCCCUGAAGAGAGUCCUGGUCCUAGGAAUCUGGGAUUCUACCUGAAGUCCCAAAGAUGAACAAAUGGUAGAGAGAGGCACCUGAGUGAGCCUGCUUCCUAAACGACUUCUCAGAACUGCCUGCAGCUGGGCUGCCUAACAGAAGCUCAAGUUCUGGGAUUCCACUCUUGAAGAAAAAUGAAUCUGCCCUUAACUUAGUGAGCCCUCAGCCUGUAGGUCAGGACAUGUAGUUCUUGCUACCCUGAAACUCACUAUGUACGACAGACUGGCCCCAACACACUGAGAUCUGCCUGGUUCUGUCUCCCUGGUGCUGAGAUCAAAUGUCGAGUCUAGAUCAAAGUUGUGGGCUCAGCCGAGAUGGGAGCAUUCCAGCCUUCCCAGGCACUCCCCCUCACUGUGAUGGACACCAGUGAAGGAACAUAGGAAGUAAAGUGUCAAUAACCUCCAACCUGAACCUUCAUGCCCACCUACCGUCCAAGACAGAGCUGUGCAUAUUGGAGUCAGCUCUUCACCUGUGAUAUCAGCAGGGUCCGGAAGGUUGCUGAGCUUCCAUCAGCAAUGAGACUUAACAGGCAACAAACCCAAGGAGCGAUGUUGGCUUUCUACUGCCCAUACCCACCUCUAGAAAGCAAACCAAGGGUGCGAGGUGCAGAACCUAGCCAAUUCUCUCCUCUCCCUCUCCUAAGUUCAGCAGCAGGGAGAGCUGACCUCCUGUUCUCACCUAGAAGCAGCAGAGCUGUGUGGGUGUGGGUCAGUCCCCUGCUUCCUGCCUCUCUGGACAAUGAAGUCUGCCAGGAGACUAAGUUUCAUUCCCUUUUGAAGGCAAUGGGUUUGCAAGAGUCAGGGCAUAUCUUUCCUCAGGAGAGGAUUUCCUCCUAAUAAAAUAAAGGUGUCAU